This 74-nucleotide transfer RNA is filed under the name Lawsonibacter asaccharolyticus. Its description in RNAcentral is "tRNA-His". It matches the Rfam family "tRNA". From Rfam's summary of the family: Transfer RNA (tRNA) molecules are approximately 80 nucleotides in length. Their secondary structure includes four short double-helical elements and three loops (D, anti-codon, and T loops). The record is from RNAcentral. Lineage: Bacteria; Bacillati; Bacillota; Clostridia; Eubacteriales; Oscillospiraceae.
GUGGGUGUAGCUCAGUUGGUUAGAGCAUCGGAUUGUGGUUCCGAGGGUCGAGGGUUCGAGUCCCUUUACCCACC